CUCAUUGUUUUUUUUUAUUCACACAUACCAGUUGUACAAACAAUAAAUUACAAGUUCAGUGCUGUGUCAGCGGUCAGCAAGAGCGGUUUCCCUACUGGAAGAGUCAGAGUGGGUUGUGUGUCUUUGUGUGUGUGUGUGUGUGUGUGUGUGUCUGUGUGUGUGUGUGUG
This is a long non-coding RNA of Etheostoma cragini (Arkansas darter), 168 nucleotides long. RefSeq lists it as uncharacterized. The record is from RefSeq and is a predicted model, not a curated record. The transcript has 3 exons. Lineage: Eukaryota; Metazoa; Chordata; Actinopteri; Perciformes; Percidae.